This 427-nucleotide ribosomal RNA is filed under the name uncultured bacterium. Its description in RNAcentral is "bacterial SSU rRNA". It matches the Rfam family "Bacterial small subunit ribosomal RNA", at positions 355 to 774 of the family's 1533-position model. The record is from RNAcentral.
UGGGGAAUUUUGGACAAUGGGGGAAACCCUGAUCCAGCCAUGCCGCGUGAGUGAAGAAGGCCUUCGGGUUGUAAAGCUCUUUCAGACGGAAAGAAAAGGUUUCGGUGAAUAUCCGGAGCCGAUGACGGUACCGUAAGAAGAAGCACCGGCUAACUACGUGCCAGCAGCCGCGGUAAUACGUAGGGUGCGAGCGUUAAUCGGAAUUACUGGGCGUAAAGCGUGCGCAGGCGGUUGCAUAAGACAGAUGUGAAAUCCCCGGGCUUAACCUGGGAACUGCGUUUGUGACUGUGCGACUGGAGUACGGCAGAGGGGGGUGGAAUUCCUGGUGUAGCAGUGAAAUGCGUAGAUAUCAGGAGGAACAUCGAUGGCGAAGGCAGCCCCCUGGGCCUGUACUGACGCUCAUGCACGAAAGCGUGGGGAGCAAACA